AUAAGAAUUGGGGGAAAAUCCUAUAAAAGUUUGGGGGUGAUCCUAUAAAAAUUGGGGAAAAAUCCUAUAAAAUAUUGGGGAAACCCUAAAAAAGUUUUUGGGAAAAUUCUGUAAAAAUUGGGGGAUGAUUCUAUAAAGUUUGGGGGAAAUCCUAUAAAAGUUUGGGGAAGAUCCUAUAAAAAUUGGGAGAAAAUCCCAAAAAGGUUUGGCAGAAAUCCUAUAAAAAUUGGGGGAAAAUCCUAUAAAUUUUUGGGGGUGAUCCUACAAAUAUUGGGGGACAAUCCUAUAAAGGUUUGGGGGCGAUCCUACAAAAUUUGGGGGAAGGAACUGGGAAGUUUGGGGGGAUCCUAUAAAGGUUUGGGGGCAGGAGCUGCUCAGGGGGCUGCAGGACGACGGGACCCUGCUGCCCCUCCCCAAGUACGAGAACUGGUGAGUUUGGGGGCCGAAAAUUUGGGGGAAAAACGAGGGAAUUUGGGAAAGAUGGCACAGGAAGGUUUGGGAGCGAUCCGAUGAAGUUUGGGUGAGAUAUGGUGAAAUUUGGGCGAAAAUCCUAUAAAAUAUGGGGGAAACCCUAUAAAAAGUUUGGGGAUGAUGCUAUAAAAAUUGGGAGAAAAUCCUAUAAAGUUUGGGGAAGAUCCUAUAAAGUUUGGGGAAAAUGCUAUAAAUUUCAGGGGAAGAUCCUAUAAAAAUUCGGGGGCAAUCCUAUAAAGUUUGGGGGAAAUCUUAUAAAAGUUUGGGAGAAAUCCUAUAAAGUUUUUUGGGGAAAUACCAUAAAAGUUUGGGGGCGAUCCUAUAAGAGUUGGAGGAAAAAAACUAUAAAAAUUGGGGGAAGAUCCUAUAAAGGUUUGGCAAAAAUCCUAUAAAAUAUUGGGGAAAACCUAUGAAAGUUUUGGGGAAAAUUCUAUAAAAAUUGGGGGAAGAUCCUAUAAAAUAUUGGGGAAACCCUAUAAAAGUUUUGGGG
This 961-nucleotide long non-coding RNA is filed under the name Anas platyrhynchos platyrhynchos (common mallard). RNAcentral describes it as "lncRNA (ENSAPLG00000023729.1)". The record is from RNAcentral. Lineage: Eukaryota; Metazoa; Chordata; Aves; Anseriformes; Anatidae.